RNAcentral lists this ribosomal RNA (253 nucleotides) under uncultured bacterium. Its description in RNAcentral is "partial 16S ribosomal RNA". It matches the Rfam family "Bacterial small subunit ribosomal RNA", at positions 524 to 776 of the family's 1533-position model. The record is from RNAcentral.
UACGGAGGGUGCAAGCGUUAUUCGGAAUUACUGGGCGUAAAGCGCGUGUAGGCGGGAAGGUAAGUCUGAUGUGAAAGCCCUGGGCUCAACCUGGGAAGUGCAUUGGGUACUGCUUUUCAUGAGUUCUGGAGAGGAUGGGGGAAUUCCCGGUGUAGAGGUGAAAUUCGUAGAGAUCGGGAGGAAUAUCAGUGGCGAAGGCGCCCAUCUGGACGGCAACUGACGAUGAGACGCGAAAGCGUGGGGAGCAAACAGG